UGAAAUGUCUGCCCCACAGCAUC
RNAcentral lists this microRNA (23 nucleotides) under Echinococcus granulosus. RNAcentral describes it as "egr-miR-10288-3p". The record is from miRBase by way of RNAcentral. Lineage: Eukaryota; Metazoa; Platyhelminthes; Cestoda; Cyclophyllidea; Taeniidae.